UCGAUUCCCUUAGUAGCGGCGAGCGAAACGGGAAGAGCCCAAACCAACAAGCUUGCUUGUUGGGGUUGUAGGACACUCUAUACGGAGUUACAAAGGACGACAUUAGACGAAUCAUCUGGAAAGAUGAAUCAAAGAAGGUAAUAAUCCUGUAGUCGAAAAUGUUGUCUCUCUUGAGUGGAUCCUGAGUACGACGGAGCACGUGAAAUUCCGUCGGAAUCUGGGAGGACCAUCUCCUAAGGCUAAAUACUCUCUAGUGACCGAUAGUGAACCAGUACCGUGAGGGAAAGGUGAAAAGCACCCCGGAAGGGGAGUGAAAUAGAACCUGAAACCGUGUGCUUACAAGUAGUCAGAGCCCGUUAAUGGGUGAUGGCGUGCCUUUUGUAGAAUGAACCGGCGAGUUACGAUUUGAUGCAAGGUUAAGCAGUAAAUGUGGAGCCGUAGCGAAAGCGAGUCUGAAUAGGGCGUUUAGUAUUUGGUCGUAGACCCGAAACCAGGUGAUCUACCCUUGGUCAGGUUGAAGUUCAGGUAACACUGAAUGGAGGACCGAACCGACUUACGUUGAAAAGUGAGCGGAUGAACUGAGGGUAGCGGAGAAAUUCCAAUCGAACCUGGAGAUAGCUGGUUCUCUCCGAAAUAGCUUUAGGGCUAGCCUCAAGUGAUGAUUAUUGGAGGUAGAGCACUGUUUGGACGAGGGGCCCCUCUCGGGUUACCGAAUUCAGACAAACUCCGAAUGCCAAUUAAUUUAACUUGGGAGUCAGAACAUGGGUGAUAAGGUCCGUGUUCGAAAGGGAAACAGCCCAGACCACCAGCUAAGGUCCCAAAAUAUAUGUUAAGUGGAAAAGGAUGUGGCGUUGCCCAGACAACUAGGAUGUUGGCUUAGAAGCAGCCAUCAUUUAAAGAGUGCGUAAUAGCUCACUAGUCGAGUGACACUGCGCCGAAAAUGUACCGGGGCUAAACAUAUUACCGAAGCUGUGGAUUGUCCUUUGGACAAUGGUAGGAGAGCGUUCUAAGGGCGUUGAAGCAUGAUCGUAAGGACAUGUGGAGCGCUUAGAAGUGAGAAUGCCGGUGUGAGUAGCGAAAGACGGGUGAGAAUCCCGUCCACCGAUUGACUAAGGUUUCCAGAGGAAGGCUCGUCCGCUCUGGGUUAGUCGGGUCCUAAGCUGAGGCCGACAGGCGUAGGCGAUGGAUAACAGGUUGAUAUUCCUGUACCACCUAUAAUCGUUUUAAUCGAUGGGGGGACGCAGUAGGAUAGGCGAAGCGUGCGAUUGGAUUGCACGUCUAAGCAGUAAGGCUGAGUAUUAGGCAAAUCCGGUACUCGUUAAGGCUGAGCUGUGAUGGGGAGAAGACAUUGUGUCUUCGAGUCGUUGAUUUCACACUGCCGAGAAAAGCCUCUAGAUAGAAAAUAGGUGCCCGUACCGCAAACCGACACAGGUAGUCAAGAUGAGAAUUCUAAGGUGAGCGAGCGAACUCUCGUUAAGGAACUCGGCAAAAUGACCCCGUAACUUCGGGAGAAGGGGUGCUCUUUAGGGUUAACGCCCAGAAGAGCCGCAGUGAAUAGGCCCAAGCGACUGUUUAUCAAAAACACAGGUCUCUGCUAAACCGUAAGGUGAUGUAUAGGGGCUGACGCCUGCCCGGUGCUGGAAGGUUAAGAGGAGUGGUUAGCUUCUGCGAAGCUACGAAUCGAAGCCCCAGUAAACGGCGGCCGUAACUAUAACGGUCCUAAGGUAGCGAAAUUCCUUGUCGGGUAAGUUCCGACCCGCACGAAAGGCGUAACGAUUUGGGCACUGUCUCAACGAGAGACUCGGUGAAAUCAUAGUACCUGUGAAGAUGCAGGUUACCCGCGACAGGACGGAAAGACCCCGUGGAGCUUUACUGUAGCCUGAUAUUGAAAUUCGGCACAGCUUGUACAGGAUAGGUAGGAGCCUUUGAAACGUGAGCGCUAGCUUACGUGGAGGCGCUGGU
RNAcentral lists this ribosomal RNA (1962 nucleotides) under Staphylococcus aureus. Its description in RNAcentral is "partial 23S ribosomal RNA". It matches the Rfam family "Bacterial large subunit ribosomal RNA", at positions 231 to 2193 of the family's 2925-position model. The record is from RNAcentral. Lineage: Bacteria; Bacillati; Bacillota; Bacilli; Caryophanales; Staphylococcaceae.